This is a long non-coding RNA of Spinacia oleracea (spinach), 7623 nucleotides long. RefSeq lists it as uncharacterized. The transcript has 8 exons. The record is from RefSeq and is a predicted model, not a curated record. Lineage: Eukaryota; Viridiplantae; Streptophyta; Magnoliopsida; Caryophyllales; Amaranthaceae.
AAAAUAAAAAUAAAACUUAGAAUUUACCCUCCAGUUUCUCAGCGCAUCCUUUGCCCUAAACCUUUCUCACGUCCCCUUUCCCUGCUCCCUUCAUACUUCUCCUCAUCUUCCAUUCCACAGGCGACGGCGUGGGCGGCGACACUCUAUUCUACCGGCGUCGACACUCCUUCUCUCCUCUGCUCUUUCUUCUUGAACUCGCACAAAAUUCACGAAAUUGAGAACGAAAUUCAGUCCAUUCUAAAAUUCUACCGCUAGCCCCCAGUCUUCCAGUUUUAAUUUGGUGAAACAAGAAACCGCUGAAACCAAAACCCUAAAAAAGAAAAUGAUUAACGAACACCUCUCGUCGAUCAGUUGCUCAAUCUUAGUCUGGUACCUUUGAAAUUCUCAUGGUACCUUCAACACUCCAUUGAAAUCGAAAUUCUCACAGUACCCUAUGAAUUGCGGAAGAUUACAAGCUUUCUCACUUUCACGAACUAUCCAUGCAGUUCUAUAUCAAGUGAAAAAAUGGGUGGAAACCAAUGGUGUCUAAGUGGAAAAUUGAAUAUAGUGGUUCUAGCUUACAGUGGGGGCUGAGGCUGAUUCCAAUGGAGAUGUUCGUGGGAGAAUUAUCAAUGCUGGCAUAUUGAUCAUAUACAAACAUGGGAGAGAUAGUGUUUCCUUGUUAUUUUGAAUAUUUGAGAACUAUCUCAAUAAAAAGGCUUCUGAUGAGGAAAUGUACGAUCUUGUCCGUGAAGGUACGGUGUAGCUUGCGAAAUAUUUGGGAAAGGAUGACCCUAAAGUCCAUUCGGUUGUUGAGAAGUUUCUUUGAUGUGCUCAAUACUCCCUUUGAAGCUGUGCAGAGGGUUGUCUCAUCUUGCUUGUCUCCACUAAUGCCAUCUAAAUAGGUAUCCAGAAUAUCGCCAACUUAGUGUUUCCUAUGGAUAAUUUUUUACCUGUGCAUAGCAUUUGGGCAUGGAUUUCUAGACCCUACAGGAUUUGAUGAGGUUUAAUAAGCCACUAAAACAUAGCUUAUUGUAACGCCCCGACCUCUAACUCAUUAAUUAAAGCAUAAUUAGCAGCGGAAUUAACCUAAUUGGUCGGGACAUUACCUGCCGUAACUUCCUUUUCGGAAAUUACAAGGCAAACAUCAAUCAUAAGACUUUAAAUACUCCAAAAUAUAUAUAAUAAUCCUUUAUAUUAUCAAAAUAAAAGUGCAUGACUUACUAAAAGUCUUUAAUUAAAACUAUUAAAACUUUAAGCAUAAACUAGGUGAAUAUUAUUAAUGUGAAAUUCCUCGCCACUACUCGUGUCCAUCGUCCCCAUCAGUACCUAAAACAGAAAACAAAAACGGUGAGCCGAAGACUCAGUAACGAACUAUUCUAGCAGCGUAAAUUCAUUUCAAUUCAUUUUAUUUAAUAACAUAGGGAGAAUAGAAUGGGUAAAACAUUUAAUAAAACAUCAUAUUUAAUUCAUUCAUAAACUUUGCAAUUUAACAUGCUAGUUGUCGGCAAGUACGAACCGUGAAGGAAUUCUCCACUGGGCCUGGGCCCAUAAGAGCCUGGGCUCAUCAUCGUAACGUGGGCCUGGGCCCUGAGCCCUGAGCCUGGGCUCAUAAACCAUGGGAGCUUGGGCUCGUAAUCCAUGGGUGGACAGGUGUCUGUGGUGCAUGCAUGACCGAUAGAUAGGAAGAUGGUAGUUUAUAUACCGUCAGACAAACCAAGUCUUUCACUUUCAUUUUAUCAUGUUUUAUGUAUUUUUACUAAGCCUUGGCUUGUAUUUCAGUUCGUAAUAACAUAACUCAUUUAGCUCAUAAAACAUCAUUUUGAUCCUGGGAUCAAUAAACAUAUUAUUUCUUUCAAAGCAUUGCAUAAACAUAAUUUUAUGAGAAAACUCAAUCAAAUCAUAUUAUAAUAAACAAUUCAAACAAAUCAUAUUUCAUCCCCACAAUCCAUAAAACACAUCAAAACAUUUAAUUCAUAAAACAUGUCAAAACAUUCAGUUCAUAAAUCAAUCAUAACGUUGUAAUUUCAUAAACGAAUUUAUAAGGGAAUUGCGGGUACUAGCAAUAGCCGUUACCUCACUUCCACGAUUUUGUUAAGGAUUUUCGUUGGUUCGUUCGUCCUGAGCUCCGAGUCCAAUUUCUUUCAAGAUAUUAAAUAAUUGAAUUAGUACUAGAUCGAUAAAUAAUUUAAAAUCAAUAUUUUAUAAAUCAUAAAUUUUAUAAGUAAUGAAUUUUAUAAGUAACGAAUUUUAUAAAUAACGAAUUUUAAUAAAAUUAUAAUUUCGAAAUUUAACGAAAAUGUUAUUAUUAAUCGAAUUUUCAAUCGAAAUACAUAUAUAUAUUUUAUAAUCGAUUUUCAUGUAAAUAAUAUUAAAAAUUCCGUUUUUGUUAAUUCAGGCUAGUAAUUUAUUUUAGUAAAAACGAUAAUAAAACCUGAAAAUAAUAAACAAUUCAUUAGUAAAUAAUUAUAUGAUAAAACUUUGUUAAAACAUGAAAAUUAGUAAUUAGGAAAUAUGAAAGUAACAAUUCAGUUUUCAACUUACCAAGGCCCAAUUGAAAUGGCCCAAAUCCUUAAAUUGGGUUUUAAAGAAAAUAAAAACCCAAAGUUUACAAUCUGAUUUUUGUUUGCCUUUUGGUUUUUUUUGGGAAAGGCACGACCAAAAACAGAGGAGAAAGGGAGGAGAGGAGGAGGGAGGAAGAGAGCGUGGAGGCUGGCUGGGCGGCUCAGUGAAAAGAUGAUGCGCCGGUGAAGGCGACGGCGAUGGUGACGGUGGUGGAGCGGCGGCGCAGCAGUUAAGGGGGGGGGGGUGGUGAUUUCCGAAACAGGGGAAGCAGGGGAGGGGAAGGUGCGAGGGAGAGGGAGAGGGAGGACGACGGGGUGGUUCUGGGCGGUGGUUUGGUGGACGUGGUUGUUGAUGGUGGUCGGAGGAGUAGAGUGGUGCUGGUGGUGUGGUGGUGGCGUGGGGCGAAAGAGGAGGAAAGGGAGAGGGGACAGGGGAGUGUCGAAGGAGAAGAGCAGGGACGAGGGGUGGAGUGUGCAGUGGUGCUGGGGGCGACGGUGGUCAGGAUGGUUGAGGUGGUUGUUGUUGGUGGUAGGUGAUGGUGGAGAUGGUGGACGGUGGUGGCAGUGGCUGCCGGUGGUGGUGGUGGUUCGAAUUAAAGAAGAACUAAGGGGAGUUUAUUUUCAGUUUUGUGAAUUGAUUUUGGUAUUGAAAUGUAUCAGAAAUUUGAUGGAAUUUGUAAAUUUUGGAAUGAUUCUAGAAGGGGGAAGGCCUUGGGGCUCAAGCAAUUGAACAUGGACUGAUUUGAGGGAAGGAGAGGAAGUCAAAACUUCCUGGUUCAUGCGUGGAGAGCAAGGGAAAUAAAGCAGAAAUUUUUCCCCUUUUUUACUUUUUUAUUUUUUUUAUUCAAUAAAUUCACAAUUUUGGCAAAAUUCAGAAAUUGUUUGUAAUUUUCAGAAAUUGGUAAAAAUAGAAAUGUUUAUUUAAAAUAAUUUCUUAAAAAUUAUCGUUAACGAAAAAAAAUAAAUAAUUUCAGUUUAGAAAUUUAUCGUUGAAAAAUAAGUCGUAAAAACGAUUAAAAUAACGAAAUUUGAUUAUUCGUAAUUAUUUAAAACGAAAUUAAGUUAAUAAAUAUUUUUUAUUUUAAUAAAUCGAAUUUAAAAUUUCGGGGUAUUACACUUAUGCUGACCCAAUUGCCGAAUGUGACCACCAACUUGUCCUUACAUUGCUUGUGGCACAUUUUCCACUUCUAUCGCAAUGUAAAUCAGCAGGAGAUCUGAUCAGCUUCUGAUCUGAUCAGUAGCAGAUCAGCAGCAGCAGAUCCGUAGCUGAUUAGAUCAAUAGAUGAUCAGAUCAUCAGCAGAUCAACAACUUAUCUGAGCAGUCUCUGAUCUGAUCAGCUACUGAUCUGCUGCUGUUGAUCUGUUGCUGAUCAGAUCAGCAGUAGUAGAUCAGAAACUGAUCUGAUCAAAACAUCGAAUGCUAGUUAUGAUGAUUUAUGUGAUUGUAGAAUUAACAAGUAAUGUGGUCUUGACUUGUUCUAUUUUACUUGAAUGAAGAAAUAAGUGCUCCAUUGGCAUUAAGAAAAUGUUUUAUCGAUAUGUUAUACCGUUACUGUUAUUGGCUUUGCCUAAAUCUAAGGAUAAGUUGAAGGAAAUAAUGCCCUUGGUCCAAGUAUGCAUUCAAUGUUAAGUCUAAUAAAUGCGGUUCAGUAUUAAUUAACAAGUUAAUAAUUCAGUGAGAUCAAGUGAGCUGAAUGCCUAGCUAGAGGCCGCUUCAGUUCAAGUGGAAUUAAUGAUAUUAAUCCACAGCUUACUCUUGACUGAACCCGUAGGGUCACACAAAUAGUACGUAAACGGAUCAAGUAUUUAAUGGCAUUAAAUACUCCAUCUAUGGAUAUUCGGAAUCAACGGAUCUUGGUUUCAGUGGGAGCUGAGAUCGUCACAGGCAAGAAAUGAAUACUCCGGAAACGAUGAUAUUGCCGGAAACGGAAAUAUGGAUCGUAUCGGAAAUAUAAAUAUUAUCCAAGUCGUAGAUGUUGCCGGAAACGGAAACAUGGUACGUAUCGGAAAAUAUUAUCGGAAAUGGAAAUAUUGCCGGAAUCGGAAAUAUUGCCGGAAACGGAAAUAUUGUCAGAAUCGGAAAUAUUAUCUGAAUCGGAAAAUAAUUCCGGAAACGGGAAUUUAAUUCCGGAAAUGAAUUCCGGAAUCGGGAAUUUAAUCGGAAGCGUAUCGCACGAAUUAGCAUCGGACGAGGCCCGCUAGACGAAGGCCCAGCACGAAGCCAGGCCGUCGCCCAGCGAGCUAACGCGCACCAUCGCACGCCAAGCCUCGACCAGGCCCAGCGCAAGGCCAGGCCCAGCCAAGGCCUUGGGCGCGCGCGCGAGAGCACAGCAGUGGGCCGAGCGCUGUGCGCCUAGCGUGGGCCGGAAGGCUUGCGCGGGUGUACGGUGCUCGUGCAAUGCUUGUGCGGGAAUCCUGAAGCAAUCAGGAUUCGAAGUGUGAUUAAAUCCUAAAACUAUUAGAUAAUGAUUAUUUAUUUAGAGUCCUAGUAGGGUUAUAAUUAAAUAAAUUAGUAUCCUAAUAGGAUUCCAAAACCCUUUCCAUAACUCUAUAAAUAGGUGCCUAGGGUCACAUAUUUUCAGAGAUUAAUUCAAGUAUUCAAAGUGAGUUUUUGAGAGAAAAUUCAGACACAUUUCUUGACUAUAAGUGCCGAAAAUCUUUAGUACCUUAAGGGCGUUUCUAGUUGGUCAAUCUUAAGGCGGAUCCGGACGUGCUGUGGACUAUCUAUGGAGGGACGACACUUGGAGUCCUAAAGACUUGUUCUUUUUCGGUUCGGGCGCAGCUAGGGAAGCCACGCAACAAAGAGCGAUAAUUACUUAGGAGAUACGCAAGGAGACUACUAGUUCGAAAUACGCGUGUGUUCAAGCCCGUAAGGGUUUGGAACAGGUUGCCCUUCUAGAUGUUGUUCUAUCGGUGCACUUCAGUGGAGACCCGGUUUUCAAAACUCCAAGGGAGGGGUCCUUUACCAAAGAGGAGUUGGAUGAAGUUCGAGACAUGUGGGCUACUUACUUCAACGAUUGUAAACUACCCUCAGUGUAAAUAGAGUAGGCUUGUAGUUAUCUGUGACUCUUACAUUACUUUGUUAUUUAUUGAUUUAAUUAAUUACAUUUGAAUUAAUUCGGUAAUAUUUUUGGAAUUUGAAAUUUAUAUCAUUUUUGAGGAAUGUCAAGCUGAUGUUUGGUGAAACAUUAUUCUAUAAAUUAUAAUGCAGAAUUUUAUAUUGCAAAAUCAGAAAUUAUAUUGCAGAAUCAGGAAUUAUAUUGCAGAUUUAAAAAAAAAAAAAAAAAAAAAAAAAAAAAAAAACUCAAAAGUUGCAACUUAUGUGAAGCUUAUAAGUUGCCCUUGUUUGCAACAAGGGAAACUUAUAAGCUUCACAUAAGUUGCUCUUGUUGCAAACAAUGGCAACUUAUAAGUUGGAGGAAGUACAAAUACAUAUCAGAACAAAAGACAAAAUAGGAAAAAGGACAAAAAUAAUAAUUAAAUGGUACUUUUCUAACACAAAUGGUACUUUUUUUACAAAAUGGUACUUUUUUUUACAGAAUGGUACUUUUUUUACAUGAAUGGUACUUCCUUUUUUGUCUUUUAGCUAUUUGUCUUUUAGUUGAUAUGUGUGUUUCCACACAUAUCAGAUAUGCGAAAAAACGAACCCUUAUAAGUUGCCCUUGUUAAGGGCAACUUUUGAUAAUUUGCCAAAAGUGACCCAGCUAUAUGUUGCCCUUAUAAAGGGCAACUUAUAAUCCUAUUUAAGGGAAACUUAUGAUGUUUUUUCCUCUAGUGGGGUGUUACACGAAUUUAGGGGUGGAUUACAUCCGUCAUUAAAAACCUCAUCGCUGAUUCGAGUUAGGGACUGUAUCGAUAAUAUUCGUUUCUAAAUUUAGCUCCCACUAGUCGUUAAUCAUGGGAGCUCACAAAAGAUAUAAUGUUUUUCUGCACUUGAUUCAAUCCAUCCUAUGGCACUACACUAAGUAUAGUAGCACACACGGGGAUAAGUAUGGGGUCAAACUCUGGGGGAUCAAACGUUUUCUACACUAGCAAGGGACAUGCACUCACUAGACACUUUACUUGGUCACAACAACCAACUUACCAACACUAGUAGAAAAAAUAUCAAAGGUGGCGCUUGAAAUAGGCUUAUAGGUGGCGCUUUAUAAGGACAUCAUAUGGCAUGGUCACAUUUGUGAAAUUUACAAAAGUUGCGCUGGACAAGCGCAACAUAUAAGCUUCAACCUUUAAAUUACUUUCACAAAUUUGGAUUUAACGAACGCUUCGUAUAUGACAAGUCGAAUCAAAUUAAAGGUUACUUUGGCCAAAAUUAUAAUGAUUGAGUUCGUUGGACAUCUCUCGUAUUUCGUAUAUAAGGAUGAAAUAUAGAGUUUUUUGGAGAAGAUAAUAUAACGAUUUGUUUGUACCCACGAGAGAAAAAUACCUUAGAAGUUAGAAGACCCGCGUAAUACUAGUAUUUUAUUCAGUAUUAAGUUGCAAAAACCAAAAAUUAAAAUUAAUUAAAUUUGGUUAGGUGUAGAAGUCCUUCCAAGUUAGGGUGUACAUCAUUCCACUAUAGAAAGUCAAAGCCUACUAAUAUCAUCAUUCAAAGCAAAGUACCCAAACGUGUUCUUACCUUCCUUCCAUUCUAGUCAUUCAAAAGUUCAACAUCUAUCUUCAACAUUUCUCUGCUAUAAAUUCAACAUUUAACUCCUUUUCUCUCUUAAAAUUUCCAACUACUGGAAGAUCUGUACAUAUAUUAUAUAUAUAUAGUAAGUUGGUGUAACGUAUGCUGCUGUGGGGGUGGUUGUCGAAAAUGUAUCGAUCAGCUAGUGCUUCACGGGUUGCCGAUGAGUUCUCGACGUCUGAUGAUAAUGAGCUGCCGCUGUACAGAGAAGUCAGCAAGAAACAGAGUGGUUUGCAGAGAAGGUUAACUUUGCCUGCAGAAUAUGUAAUUCAUCUCAUUCCUGUUGUUCUUUUUCUUUGUGUUUUUAUUCUUUGGUUCAAUUCUCAUCCUACUCAUAAAGUCUGAUUCUUUUAGGAUGUAUACAAAUUUAUUAUCGGAACUUUAUGUUCAUGUUUUGAAAUUUUUUAUUUUGGA